AGACUAGGGAAGCAACUUACUGGCAAAGGAAAGGACCGAGACGCUACAGGUAAAAGCCAGAAAUCGGGAGACGCCAGUCCAGCAGGACUGCGACUUUAGUACAGGGGAGAGGGAGACGGUGGAUUCGGGUGGAACACUACAUAUAGUAGAAUGUUGGAGGUUUGAACUAUGGUUUGAGCAAUGACAAUGGGUUUGAGAGGCAGAGAAGUAAGUUAAUAGCGGCGCGGCAGUCGUAGAGGUCAUAAUAAGGCAAGAGUGGGAGACUAGGAUAAGGGAGGAGGAUGCUGGGAUCAUAAAUAACUGUGCUGGGCCUGUGGGGGAGUAGGGAGGAGAAAGAACGCCUGUCUGAGACAAGUCAUGCAAUCAAUGCCUUCCUCAUGGAAACAUGGGAACUGCGUAGGACAGCGCAGCAGACAGGCCGGGGCUUACACAUAAAUGUAUAAGCAUUUGAAGUGGUAUUGUGUCUUUGGCUUGUGUGUUUGUUUUUCCUCACAGGAAAUGGGAGAGGCCAAAAUGGACCCGCGGCAGAGACAGUACCUCAGCGUUUAAAAAGGAAAACAGUCCACAGAAGAAGAAGAAGAGGGCAACCAUUGAGCUAGUCUCCUGUAAAGAUAUGUGUCCCUACUCUGUCAUAUUUUCCGCCUUUCUCGGCGCCUCAGCUGUCAUGCAGCCCCCUGACUCGCCACACAGAUUCCAGUCAUGAAGUUUGUGAUGGAGCAUGUGAGCAAGGAUUGAGGGUCACCACAACCAGCCUGAUGGUAUCAACACCAGUCCAUUCUCCCUUAUUUCUACCAAGGAGGCAGGACACCACGUCUCAUGCAAGAUGUGAUGCACCAAUGGCGUGGCAUCAAGGGAAGCGCCUCUUUGUAUCCUUGUCCAGCACUUUAUUGUACACAUGAAGGUGCUCCAGAGGUUCAAGAAGGGAGUGGCACACACACUCUGCUGCAGUCCAAUUGCAGGCUUUUGGAGGUCCAGCAGCACACUGCACUCUGCUUUCAUAAAUGUGUGUGUACAGAGUGCAAGACAGAGAGGGGCAAGGAUGGAGGAUGCUUCAACAUUCACAGCAUCAUUGGUUCAUGCUUUCUUUUUCGUGGAGAGUAGUGCACACAGUUUUUAACCGAAGGAUUAUAUGUCAUCAUUCAUAUUCAUUGAUUUCAUGACUUAACAUUGUGUUGACCUUUGUGCAUCAGAUCACUUCAUUACAUGUAAGUGUAUAUUUAGUUACAAGGAGUAAUGGUUUAUGAUAUUUGUAAUGUAUAAAAAGUGACUUAUAAGAGAUCUUCCAUUAUGAAAAUUUGUUUAAGAGUGUUUGUUUAUUAGCAUGAUUUAGUUUUGUCUGUCUUAACAGUCCAGAUUGUACAGACAUGAACCAUCGUCCAUUGCGGAAUUGCAGUCAACACUGCAAGGUGUGUGUGUGUGUUGUAUUGUAUUGUACAGGCUUCGAGCAGGGCUCAUAGUGUCCUGUCUCCAUGUCUCCAUUUAUCCAAUUUUUCCUUAAGGUUAUGCACACUAUGUGCUGUAACAACU
Long non-coding RNA from Portunus trituberculatus (swimming crab), 1527 nucleotides. RefSeq lists it as uncharacterized. The transcript has 4 exons. NCBI's taxonomy places the organism in Eukaryota, Metazoa, Arthropoda, Malacostraca, Decapoda, Portunidae. The record is from RefSeq and is a predicted model, not a curated record.